UUCCUGGAAGGCAGAAAGAAAGAGAUAAAAAGGAAAAAACAGCAUUUGUCACUUAUAGUGCUCUGGUUAGCACAGUAGCUGGGCCCCUGAACCCUCUACAGGCCUCCCAAGCUGGCACUGAAUAAAAUGUGAGAAAUGAAAGGAACUUUUCCGUGAGUCUGGCAGCGCCGACAGACACUGAGGUGGCAGAGCUGUCUGGUCCCAGUCCACAUGCAGAGGCCUGCAGCUCCUCCUUCCAGCCCGCACCCACCAGAGCUUCUCAGACGGGCCGUGUCCUGAGAAGGUUGUUGCCAAUGUAGAUGUUUGAGAGGCUCACUGAUGAACAAAUCAACAGAGCAGAUUUAAUCUGAAGAGAUCCAAAUAUUGUGCUUCUUUGGACUCAUAGAAAUGGCGAAAGAUUUAACAUCAGGAAGUACUUAAGUCAGCUAAUUUCUAGAGCCUUCUUCCUCCCUGUCACUUGAUUCUAGAUAGGAUCACCAGUUAGACAUCAGAACCAGAUCUUUUUAUCCAGAGAAGUACCAGUUUGUUGUUUUUCCUUCCGAAGCCAAGUCCUCGAGUUUCAGGUAGACUUCAGUUGAUUUCUGCGAGGUCUUUGCUUUCUCUCUGCCAGAAUAAUCACUGCUGAGGAAAGCAAAAAGCCCCGAAGAGCCUGGCUUGGAAUAAAAACAUGCACCAUACAAGAUUUUUAUGAAGAUUAAAUAACUUGGGCUAAAAUAUUCUGGAAGCUGCCAAGGGCUCUACAGAUGAGCUAUACAGAGGCAUUUGCUGAAAACUGGCCUGGAUUGACAAGCGCAAUGCAAACGUGGCUGCGGCAGUUCCAGGCAUCACAUGGUAACAAGAUCACAUCCAGUGAAGAAGGAAUUCUCAUAAGACAGUCAGCAGAUUUUGCAGGUUUUCAACUGAUUGGAUGAGGUUCACCUACAUUAUGGAGGACAGUCUGCUUUACUCAAAGUCCAUCAAUGUAAAUUCCUGCAAGGUGGAUAUCACUCUCACCUUCAGCGCACAAAGAAAGGAGGUAUACAGAAGACACAGAACUCACCAAAGUCACAGGAACUAGGUGAGGAUGAACCAGGCUGCAUCCAAGCAGCCCAGCUUCAGGGUCUGUAUUCUUUGCCACUACCCAGAACUUUUACCAAUAAGCAAAGCUAUUGUUUGCAAUAACAGGAAGCAAAAAUAGCAAAAAGUUCCCUUUAAGGGGGAGUGUUAUAAUAUACUUAACAAUCAGAAUGGCUGAAGCACUGAUCUGUGAGAGUGGCUACUGGUCAUAGCCUGGAGCUGGUCUUUUAGGUCCUCUUUGGUUACUGGAUCCUGGGAGGAUGGAUGAGGAAGUGGUCUCAGGCAAGGGGUGGAGUUAAGUGGCUGUGGAAGGUACUUUGGAGGCUCAGGCAGCAGCUUUUUUUCCCCUUAAACUUUUGUUUUAAGUUCUAGGGUACACGUGCAGGAUGUGCAGUUUACAUAGGUAAACGUGUGCCGUGGUGGUUUGCUGUACAGAACAAACCAUCACUCAGGUAUUAUUAAGCCCAGCACCCAUUAGCUAUUCUUUCUGAUGCUUUCCCUCUCCCAACUUCCACCCGACAGGCCCCAGUGUGUGUUGUUCCCCUCCCUCUGUUCUCAUUGUUCAGCUCCCACUUAUAAGU
Molecule: long non-coding RNA, 1637 nt
Filed under: Homo sapiens (human)
Lineage: Eukaryota; Metazoa; Chordata; Mammalia; Primates; Hominidae
Description: HSALNT0319776
Source: RNAcentral